This 253-nucleotide ribosomal RNA is filed under the name uncultured bacterium. Its description in RNAcentral is "partial 16S ribosomal RNA". It matches the Rfam family "Bacterial small subunit ribosomal RNA", at positions 524 to 776 of the family's 1533-position model. The record is from RNAcentral.
UACGUAGGGGGCAAGCGUUGUUCGGAUUUACUGGGCGUAAAGAGCGUGUAGGCGGCCAAACAGGUCAGCUGUGAAAACUCGAGGCUCAACCUCGAGACGUCGGUUGAAACCGUUUGGCUAGAGUCCGGAAGAGGAGAGUGGAAUUCCCGGUGUAGCGGUGAAAUGCGCAGAUAUCGGGAAGAACACCCGUGGCGAAGGCGGCUCUCUGGGACGGUACUGACGCUGAGACGCGAAAGCGUGGGGAGCGAACAGG